Molecule: long non-coding RNA, 606 nt
Organism: Xiphophorus couchianus (Monterrey platyfish)
Lineage: Eukaryota; Metazoa; Chordata; Actinopteri; Cyprinodontiformes; Poeciliidae
Exons: 3
Source: RefSeq, a predicted model, not a curated record
CCUCCCAGAGGUCGCGUUAACAGAAUAUUUUCCGUAUUUGACAGUUUUGGUUUUUUUAAAAGACGGAAAAAUUUGAAGACCGUCGGUCAUUUUGACAGGUUAUAAUUCACACCCUUGACUGUUGCACAUGCGCAAACAUUAUAGACUUUAUGCAAAAAGUUAAUCGUAGAGGCAUCUAAAAUCAAUCAAUAAAAAAAAUCCUUUCUGAAAAUCAUCUCAUGGAAUCUGAACUGAGUCUUUCUGGCCGGGAGCUGGCAGCAUGUUGAAGAGUUAUGGACCGGACGCUUUGGAGCGUCUGGUUAGGAAGAGCUUUCCAAACCUUUGGUUGACAUGACGCCUUUAAUUCUCCGGUACAAACCAGAGAAAACUAAAGAGAAUGCAAUGUUGUGUUAAUCCAUUUAUAGUCUAAACAGAGGAGCCGACAGUUUAUCUUGAGAACAUAAAUGACGGUGCAGAAGCUAAUUAGACCCUAACAUGCACAACCAAUGAGAACGCAGCUCCGCCGCUGUGAAGAAUUAAACUUAACUCAUCCAGCGGUUUUAACAAAUGGAGCUGGAAGACAUUAACCUCCCGCGCCCAGAAGGAGAGCGAAACCACAAAAAAAUC